AUCUACUACACUUUAAAAGAGACUCAAGAAAUCACUAUUCCUAAAAGAACUUUCAAUCUGGGCCGUUUAUUUGACUCUCUCUCCAUUUCCACGGUUUAAUCCUGGCCCUUGAUCUGUGAGACUUUUUUCUCCUGUGUUUCCAUGGUAUGCGUUCGUGAGUUAUCGUCAUCCCUGCAGGCCCUGUCCCUGUAGCGUGGGGGUUUCUUCUCGACGUUUCUGUCUGUUGAUGAACUCAACUUGCAUCGUCAUUCUUGCAGGUUCCCUCACUGUAGCGUGCGAGCGAUCGUCAUUCUUGCAGGGUAGCGUGGGUUAGGUUUAGGAGUAGUUGGAGAAGAGAAGAGUUGUGGAAGUUUCGAGGAAGGAGAAGGACGAGAUUUCGGGUUUUACUGUUUGUUUUGAUCAGGAUUGAUGCAAAAUUUCUUCAAUCCCUCUUUGGUUAGGUGACAAUGAGAAGGAGUAGAAUAGAUUGUUGAAGGAGAUUGUGGAAGUGCUCACUGUUUGUUGUCAGGAGUAGAGCAAAAUCAGAAGCUAAAGACGUCAUUUUCUUCGUCAGCUGAAGCUUUUCCUAAUGUCAGGUCAGUACAAGGGGUUGGUUUUCAUCGUGAUCCAGCCUGUUUGCUUGUUCCAUUCAAUUGUCACUGGUUUUCCCUUUCCAAUUGUCUAUAAAUACUGCCUUAGUUUGUUGCUUUUCAUUGUUCAUGUUGCUAUUUCUCUAAAUUUCUGAGAAUUGGUCUUUCCCCCAAUCUUACUGAUGGCGUUAGGCUGGCAUUUUCAAUCCUCUUCCAAGUUUAUGCCUUGGCAAAGAUACAUGUCUGAUCUUAUCAGGUCAGUUUUUUCUUUCUUAGAAGUGUAGAUAGAUAAAACUGAUGGUUAUUUCUUUUUCUAUUUGUUUUUUCAAUCUUAAAUGUCCAGAAUAUGAGUGAAGAAGAAAUAGGCGAAGGAAGAAUGUCCACAAAAAUGGAUGUCUUUCCAAUCGUGAAAGGAGCAGAUGGAGGAUUGGAAGAAAAAGCAAAGUAAAAAAGUUGUGGGAAUUUACUAAUUGUCUUAUGAAAGUGGGUGCUAGACUUCACCAUACAGCUUGUAGAAACGGGAAUAGAGAAUGAUGCUCUCUUGGCAUUGAUCAUUUUCUCUUUUCAGUAUGUCCUGGUCAAUCAUGAGUAUUACAAUGGUGUUGCAUGGAAGGAACAGGUGGAGGAUUGUAAGAAAAAACAAAGCGUUGCAACCCUUUGCUGCUUCACUAUUCUGUUCAUCAGUGCUGGACUAUAGAGGUGAGCAGUUCCUUCACUGGCCACGCGUGGGAGUGGAGGCUCAGUCUGAGCAAAAGGUUGCGAGAAGCACCGUAGAAAGAAAAGCGGAUUUUAAAACGGUAACAUGAUCAAUGUUUUGUGUUUAAAGUUGUGAUUUGUAAAAAAGAACUUGAGGUACUUUGGUUCUUUUUACAGAAGUUUGGUUUCUUCAUAGGCUUGAUUGAGAAAAUUCUAUCUGGGAAUGUGUCAUCUCUGCCUUCUCGACUUAAAGCUUAGUGAAAAAGAAGUAGCAGUUGAGGACACAACACAAUGAGCCUCACUGCUGCUUAAGAAUUUUAAAGUACAUCCUUUGAUUCUCCUCACAUGCUUCCUCACUUGAAAAACCAAGUGCACUUUGAAAUCCCCAUGCUUAUCUGUUUUCACUUCUUUCUUGAAUUUCUGUUUGGAAUUUCCCUCUUUGCAUUCUACAGCUAUAGAUGCACCUUUACACAAAUAUUGGACAUAAACAUUAAACCAUAUAAGCCUCAGAAUUCUGACAAUAACUUAAGGAUAUGAAGUGGAACCACUGCAAGAAAUGGAUCUGAAGUGAAGUGGCUUCCCAUGGAGAAAUCCUGUUGAAAACAUGUGCCACAGUACACAGUUCCAACCACCACAACUAAAGGAAGAAGGUCCUUGCUGUCAAGGCUAGCUUCUAGAAGACUACCACGAGUGAGACUGAAACAAAAUUACCAGGAACCAAGACAUUCUAAGGUUUGUUAUUUUAGAAACAAUUAUUAUGAGUGAACUGAAUUAGUUUUCUCUUCCCCUCAAACCUUUUAUAAUCAAGCUCCCUAAUAGUCAAUCUCAUCUAGCUAAUUGCUUUCAAACAACUUGACUGUGUUUUUUUGGGUUACUUUUUUAAGCAAGAAACCAGUUUUGCUGUUAGUUUUGUCCAAGUUACAUUUUUCUUGAUCUUCUUAGAUAAGAUUUUUGGGUCCUCUUUGUUUCAAAGAUUUUCAUUCAAAUAAAUCUCUUGAUGCAAGAGAUUUCAAAUAUGGUUGUAAAUUGUUGUCUAUCUUUUUAUUUAUCAUGUAGUUUUUCAGAGCUAAGGUUGAAUCCUUAUUGGCCAGAGACAUGUAGACAUCUAUUAACAACACUACAAAGGAAGGGAGAUCAAUUUUCUGUACUGUUGAUACAUUGAUACACUAUACCCCUCUUCCUGUAGUUUCGCUGCCUUCAGGUCCAUUGACUGGCUAAAAGAAACCAAUUAUGCCAUCUUCUCAUAAUGAAUGCUCCAAUGUCCAAACCCUUACUUUAAUCCCUGUUGUGAAUUUAUUUUCCUUCCUUUAUAUAUUUAUUAUUUAGUUUGUUUCCUUUUAUGAUUUUAGAGAUAUCUUGACUCAUGAGUUGUUUUGUGGGUACAGUUCACUGCAUCUGCUUAGUUUGAGAAAGAGAGACAUUUAAAGUUUUUCUUGGUCACAACUCGCUUGCUUACACAGUUGAAAUUUCAGGUGGUGAACUGUUUAUGCUUUGUUUGAAAGACUUCUAAAGUAGAUUAAUAGUCCAAAAGUAUAAUUUCAGUGGUGUUAGCUUGGCAUGGCCUCAAGAUGCAAGUUCAUUAUUUUACACUAUGUCAGAUGAAAGCAGUGACCUAACAAGUAAAAUUGUUAUUAGCUAUUCAUUUUAAUUAUUUUUUGGGGUUCGAGGAACGGAAUGGAUUUUAGCUUAAGAUAGUAUUUCAACUUUCAUGUGGUUUUAUGGCAGGGUUUUUUGUCAAAAUACUUGGAUAUGAUCCUAUGAAUGAUUUUGCAGUAUUUACAGAAAGUGAUUCCAAUUAUUGCGUGGACAUAACAAGCACAAAAGAUGAACUUAAGGACUUCAUUGGAGGAAGGAAGUAGACAAAAUGAAAAGGCCAACUCUUUUUUGUGGGUUUGUGAGCGUGUCACCAUUUUGCUGAGAAAAAUUGGUGAGUGCUGCAUCAGAGCGAGAAUUGGGAUAUUUGAACAAAGGUGCCUCUUGGAGAAGUUCCUACCAGUUUUAUGUACUUGUCAUUUACGUCUCUUUGUUUCUGGUUAGAUACUGUUAUUCACCAAUCAUAUGUACCUUAAGGUGAUUGAAGCUUCACAAAUAUAAUUUUAGAAGUGGUUAAGUUA
This is a long non-coding RNA of Lotus japonicus, 3379 nucleotides long. RefSeq lists it as uncharacterized. The record is from RefSeq and is a predicted model, not a curated record. The transcript has 3 exons. NCBI's taxonomy places the organism in Eukaryota, Viridiplantae, Streptophyta, Magnoliopsida, Fabales, Fabaceae.